RNAcentral lists this ribosomal RNA (253 nucleotides) under uncultured bacterium. Its description in RNAcentral is "partial 16S ribosomal RNA". It matches the Rfam family "Bacterial small subunit ribosomal RNA", at positions 524 to 776 of the family's 1533-position model. The record is from RNAcentral.
UACAGAGGGUGCAAGCGUUAAUCGGAAUUACUGGGCGUAAAGCGUGCGUAGUCGGUUAUUUCAGUCGGGCGUGAAAGCCCCGGGCUCAACCUGGGAAUUGCAUUUGAGACUGAAUAGCUAGGGUGCGGAAGAGGGAAGCGGAAUUUCCGGUGUAGCGGUGAAAUGCGUAGAUAUCGGAAGGAACACCAGUGGCGAAAGCGGCUUCCUGGUCCAGCACCGACGUUCAGGCACGAAAGCGUGGGGAGCAAACAGG